UGAUCAAGCUGACAAACUUUAUUUUUCCCA
This 30-nucleotide non-coding RNA is filed under the name Mus musculus (house mouse). Lineage: Eukaryota; Metazoa; Chordata; Mammalia; Rodentia; Muridae. The record is from RNAcentral.